GAUGAACGCUGGCGGCGUGCUUAACACAUGCAAGUCGAACGGAAAGGCUCCUGCCUGCAAGGGUACUCGAGUGGCGAACGGGUGAGUAACACGUGGGUGAUCUGCCCUGUACUUCGGGAUAAGCUUGGGAAACUGGGGCUAAUACCGGAUAUGACAAUCUCUUGGAUGGGGUUGUGGAGAGCUUUUGCGGUAUGGGAUGAGCUCGCGGCCUAUCAGCUUGUUGGUGGGGUAAUGGCCUACCAAGGCGUCGACGGGUAGCCGGCCUGAGAGGGUGUACGGCCACAUUGGGACUGAGAUACGGCCCAGACUCCUACGGGAGGCAGCAGUGGGGAAUAUUGCACAAUGGGCGCAAGCCUGAUGCAGCGACGCCGCGUGGGGGAUGACGGCCUUCGGGUUGUAAACUCCUUUCGCAACCGACGAAGCUUUUGUGACGGUAGGUUGAGAAGAAGCACCGGCUAACUACGUG
RNAcentral lists this ribosomal RNA (466 nucleotides) under uncultured bacterium. RNAcentral's name for it is "partial 16S ribosomal RNA". It matches the Rfam family "Bacterial small subunit ribosomal RNA", at positions 28 to 507 of the family's 1533-position model. The record is from RNAcentral.